Small nucleolar RNA from Suncus etruscus (white-toothed pygmy shrew), 132 nucleotides. RefSeq annotates it as small nucleolar RNA SNORA51. The record is from RefSeq and is a predicted model, not a curated record. Lineage: Eukaryota; Metazoa; Chordata; Mammalia; Eulipotyphla; Soricidae. The transcript has a single exon.
GGCUUCCCAGUGCUUACCACAGGCUGUGUUCUUUACACUGACUGUGUAGAAAGAGGAGGUACGGUAAAUGCACCCCAUAUACACCCCAAUCCAGGCCCUUUGUCUUGUUUGUAUGUGAAUUGGGUGACAAAA